AGUCUGACCCUUUUCUGCUUCAUGAACCUCAAAAACGCUCAUUAGAAAUUGAUUGAUCUCUGUUCCGGCCUUUGAAAAUAGUUUAUGAAAGCGGCGAAGAAUACGGCCCAAAGAGUCAGGAGGGGGGAGGGAGCAACGAUAUUAACGACGAUUCAGAGACGGCCUUCACCAUAAGAUCGCCUUGAUUUUUAAGAUCCACUAGACGGGAAGGGCAGAUGUCAGAAUGUCCGUGUGAGAAGGUGAAGAACGAAAAUUGAGCGAUUGAACAGAUGUCAAAGUGGAAAAGUGAAAAAAAGAGGAGGAACAGGUGGAACAGGGAAAGUCAAAAUGAUCGUGAAGGAAAGGAGGAACGAGUCGAACAGUGAAUGUCAGAAUGAACAUGAAGGAAAGUGAAAAAAAGAGGAGGGACAGGUGGAACGUGAAUGUCAGAAUGAUCAUGAUAGAAAGGAGGAACAUGAAUCUUAGAAUGGUCAUGAAAGAAAGUAAAAGAAGCGAAGGGAGAGAUUGAACAGUGAAUGUCAGAAUGAUCAUGUAGAAGAGUGAAUUAAAGAGAUGGAGAGGUGGAGCAGCAAACGUCAGAAUGAUCAUGUGGAAGAGUGAAUAAAAGAGAUGGAGAGGUGGAGCAGCGAACGUCAGAAUGAUCAUGUGGAAGAGUGAAUUAAAGAGAUGGAGAGGUGGAGCAGCAAACGUCAGAAUGAUCAUGUGGAAGAGUGAAUAAAAGAGAUGGAGAGGUGGAGCAGCGAACGUCAGAAUGAUCAUGUGGAAGAGUGAAUUAAAGAGAUGGAGAGGUGGAGCAGCAAACGUCAGAACGGUCAUUUGGGAGAGUGAAUGAGGGAGACAGGGAGGUGGAGAGGGAGUGGAAAUUGUCCGUGACCAUUAUGCAGACGACGUAGAGUGGAGACGAGACAAGUUGCAAGGUUUCGCGAGGGAGUUUGUUUCGCGAGCAUUGACAGGCGGUGAAGGAGAGAAAGUUUGGGAUGUGUUUUUGGAGGAAGAGAGAGAAGUGUGGCGUGACGGAAGCGUGCUGUUGGGUGAGGCAAUGGAUGUGGCAAGAUCGAAGUAUUUCGAUCUUGGGAUGUGGGAAGCGAGAAAUAAUAGACUGAAAAAUGCUAAGUUUGUGAUGUGUUUUGUAGUGACAGUAGCGCUGAACGAAGAGAAAAGUUAAUAUGAGAGAGAGGAGGUAGUGCGUCUAGGGAGGACCAUGGAGUAUCGUGAGUCCCGAAGGAGGAUCUUGAUAUGAUUUUUUUCUUGUCAGCGUUGGGGCAUGAAAUUUUAUCCUGUCAAGACUAGUAGUGUCAAUUUUACAGUCACCACAUCCACCGUAUCCGGAUAUCUUAAUUGACACCCAAGCAAUCCACUCUCGUAACUCUUUAAUAUUACUUGGAGGCAGUGGUGGGCACCGCUAACCGAAAUUUAGCUUCGAUAACUGGUUUAGCAAUCCACUAACUAAAAAGCUUCGCUAACGCCAAACCGCUAAACUGAUAAAGAAAUUAGUGGAAACUAACGCUAACCGCUAACUUUUUUAUAUAUGGGUUUAGCUUCGGUUUAGUAUUUUGGCACUAAAAACCCGUGUCCGUCAGUGAUGGUCUCCUUGGGUUGGCACAUGACGCACCGGUAAUGCAAGACACUGUGCUCGUCAUUUCUCUUGAUUUAAGGACAAAGUACUUCUCCAGGUCGGGCCACGGGUUCUGGAACUUCUGGGCCUCCUGGCCGUCAGCUUGAGUGUCCUCCGCCUCACCCACAGCUGCUGCCGGCUCCCUAACAGGGUCAGCAUCCUCAGGCGGAACAAAAACGUCCUCACUCUGGUCACCUUCCAUGACAUCGAUAACGAUAAACAAGGCGACAAUAAUGAACGCGACUACACGGUGACAACGUCGCAGCUGAACUGAACAAAGAGCCCAACAAGCAACAACAAAAAGAGAAGAGAAGGAAGCCUACGGUUUAUCCUAAAUCCGUAUAUUUUACCCAAGAUUUCCUGCAAAUUUACACAUUUUUUUACUCUUUUCCAUAACUGACACAUUUUAAUUAUUUUAAGUUUAUUUCUUGUCAGGUGGAAAAUAUCGAAUUCUUGUUAUUAAAUCCCGAGUUCAAAGAGUUGGAAAUGGAAGAUACAUUACGCAAAAAUACCAAAAAGUUUCCCUAAUAAUUGUCCGAUUACCCUGCUUGAAGGCGUGAUUUACCCAAAAGUUUUAGAAGCCCUGGAAUUAUUGCGCCAUGUGGCUCAACUGGUGCUGUGUCUGCCCACAACGGACAAGACCAAACCUGUAUGAAUUUUUUUUAGCGGAGGAGGAACUACACUUAGCGGAAGCUAAUUGAUCUGCUAACUGUUUCCAAAGUUAGCGAAAACGCUAAUCAGCUAACGAAAAGGAUAGCUUCGCUAAUUAGAGGUUAGCGGAACCGUGCCCAUCAUAGCUUGGGGGUAACAUUAGAUUCCAAGUUGACCUUUGAGAAUCGCAUAAAGAAGAUGAGUACCGUGUCCAGUUUGAAUGUCGGCAGCUCCAUUUCAUCUCAAAGUUUUCGAUCGUUCUUUUAACUCGAAAAAGUUUCUAUACUACCCAACCGCAACAUGCAACUUUGUCAUCAUCGAAUGGUUGGUGCAACGAUCCUGUUUUUUAGGAUUAUUGAUAAUCGUGAGCACACCCUUCACGACGCAUUACCGGCUCACGCAAUUUACAAAUCAGUGAGCGUGCUCUUCAACCAUGUUUUUACCCGAUUAAUCAAUUUUCCCGUUCAUUUAUCCCAAAUUCGAUUAAAAUGUGAAAUGUACUUUCAGAUGAAAUAGUUUCUCGUUGCUGUUGAAAAGUUUCAUGCAAAAUUCAACACCCACCUGUUAACUAAUUUAGUAAUUAUUGUUGUCCUCCCCUAUUUCUACAGUCUCCUUACUUUACUGUCAGUUUUAUUUUUCAUAAUCACGUCUGCUCUUCGAGGGGACUCAUCCUUGAUGGCCUGUCAUGGAUAUCAAUCAUAAUAAUAGUGUAUGGAUGUGACCGCACUGGAGGACAUGAAAAGAAACAUCCUGAGGUACUUGGAUUGCUUAAAACGAACAGGGGCAAGAGAAAGUGAACUAGAAGCCAAAGAGAAUGUGAGAGUGGCUUGUCAGGCCAUGAAUAGAGUGGAGGAGAGUGAAGUGAGUGGAGAAAAUGGAUGGCAGAUGAGAUCCGGUGAAGUUGAGAGUGGAGGGAGUGGAAAAAAUGGACGAUAGAUGAGAAACGAUGAAGUUAAAGUGGAGUGAGUGGAGAAGAUGGAUUAUAGGUCAGAUACGGUGAAGUUGAGGUGAAGUUUGUUCUUGGGAGGCCGCACAGCAGUCCCCUCUGAAGAUAGGAGUAUAAGCUGAUUGAUUACUUGGCGAGGUCGAGGAUUAAUUAACUAAUUCGUAAUUGCGAGGAGGGAAGGAUUAGUGUUCUCCGCCGCACGUCUACACAUUUACAUACAAUGGUUUCCAACACUAUUCGUCCAGCGUUACCAGAUUAUCGCACUUAGAACAUUGCAUUCAUCAGUUUCAGGCACCAAAACUGUCGUUGCCACAUCAGUAACGAUAUCCAAUUAAAAUUAGUGUUAAAACCGUAAAGUAUCGAUGUUUAUUUUUAAUUACCUAUGGGUCAGAAACCGGAAAGUACGGUGUGUUAAGUACGAUAGUCUGAUCAAGGUCUAUAUAUACCAAGUUAAGUUAUACGCAGCUUUGUGGGAGGAGACACGGGAGAGGCGUGGUUAAUGCAUGACGUUGCUUGGAGCCAAACUAGAGAAUGUAGAAACAGGGAUUUAGAGAAAACGAAGAAAGGCGGACUAAUUUAAAUCAAUCACUUCACCACUUCUGGACCUAUUCUACACUGGAUCAUUGCAUUUCUUAGUAACCGGACUCAACGUGUUCUUAUUGACGGAUCUUCAUCUGACACUGUCCCUGUUUCUUCAGGUGUCCCGUAAGGCACCGUUCUAGGCUCCCUUCUUCCUGUACAUUAACAAUCUUCCACUCAACGCCUAACUCUUCCACUAGACUAUUUCCCGACGAUAGUUUGCUGUUUAGAGCAGUAAAGACUACUGACGACUGCAGACUGCUACAAAAAGACUUGGACGCCCUCCAGCGGUGGGAGCGCACCUGGCAGAUGCAUUUCCGCCCUGACAAGUGCAAACUGUUAAGAUUCACCAGAGCUCACAACUCCAUCCAUCACACUUACACUCUCCAUAAUUCAGAACUUGAAUCAGUCCACACACACAAGUAUCUUGGUGUCCACCUCUCCACUAACCUAAAGUUCAACACUCACAUAGACCACAUCAGUGCCACAGCCAACCUAACUCUGGGGUUCCUGAGAAGGAAUUUACAUAACUGCACACCUGACAUUAAACACAUAGCUUAUAACACACUUGUGAGACCAACACUUGAAUACUGCUCCACGGUGAGGGAUCCUUACACACACAGAAACAUUGAUAGGUUAGAACAAAUCAACACCAAGGCGGCUAGUUUCAUUACAAACAAUUACACUCAAACGCCUGGCAUCACAACACCGAUCAAACAACAGAUAAACAUGUAACUUCUUCACUUACGCAGACAAGCACACAGACUUACAUUUAUGUACAAAAUUACAAACACUCACAUUGACAUACCUACACAACGUAAACAUUCAACGUACUCGUAACACACACAUCCAUAAAUACCAAUUAUAUCACACUAACACUGACGCAUAGAAGCACUCAUACUUUCCACGCACCAUACGUGACUGGAACAGCCUCCCUCAACAGAUUUUAGACUGGGGUACAGUAGACUCAUUCAGAAAACAAAUACACAAUCACUUGUCACCACAACACACCAACACUAACAAUUACGCCUGAUUCGCUUCCCUCCCCUGCACACUCGGCUCCCCGUCCCCCCCAACAGCCAAUGCAAAUAUGCGUGUUAUGCACCUGUACAGGUCCCCUGCGCAUAUUUUUUCGUCAGUGGCUUGCCUGAACGCGCUGUGAAAGAAGGUGAGAAUGCACAUCCAAAGUGCACACACGACCGCAACUUUAGUCACCUGUGAACUGGCUUCAAGUGACAUCAUCACGCUCCUCCGCCCCAAACCGCCCCCUGUGCGUGCUGCUGGUCGCAGUUUUGAAGGCAGAGUGACUUGACUUGGUAUAUAUAGACUUUGAGUCUGGUAACACUUUAUUCGUCCCGUCUCAGUAAGCUUUCACCCAACCCUUCCUUCACCCCUCCGUCAGCAGUGAACGCCUCCUGAAAUUCGUUUUGAGUGAGUUAUCUUCACACUUCUUGCCAGUUUAUUCAGCUACCUCAUUCAGUCACUUCAAACCCUCAUUCAGUCACUUCAAACCCU
Long non-coding RNA from Eriocheir sinensis (Chinese mitten crab), 5306 nucleotides. RefSeq lists it as uncharacterized. NCBI's taxonomy places the organism in Eukaryota, Metazoa, Arthropoda, Malacostraca, Decapoda, Varunidae. The record is from RefSeq and is a predicted model, not a curated record. The transcript has 3 exons.